UACGUAGGGAGCAAGCGUUGUCCGGAAUCAUUGGGCGUAAAGAGCGUGUAGGCGGCCCGGUAAGUCCGCUGUGAAAGUCCAGGGCUCAACCCUGGGAUGCCGGUGGAUACUGUCGGGCUCGAGUCCGGAAGAGGAGUGUGGAAUUCCGUGGUGUAGCGGUGAAAUGCGCAGAUAUCAGGAGGAACACCGGUGGCGAAGGCGGGUCUCUGGGCCGAUACUGACGCUGAGGAGCGAAAGCAUGGGUAGCGAACAGG
RNAcentral lists this ribosomal RNA (254 nucleotides) under uncultured bacterium. RNAcentral's name for it is "partial 16S ribosomal RNA". It matches the Rfam family "Bacterial small subunit ribosomal RNA", at positions 524 to 776 of the family's 1533-position model. The record is from RNAcentral.